AUCAAAUUAGCAAAAUUUAAUGCAAUUGACUUAGGCUCAAUAGAUAUAGGUGAAAUACCUUUAUUUGAUA
Molecule: transfer RNA, 70 nt
Filed under: Splendrillia sp. 1 MNHN IM 2013-9619
Lineage: Eukaryota; Metazoa; Mollusca; Gastropoda; Neogastropoda; Drilliidae
Description: tRNA-Leu
Rfam family: tRNA
About the family: Transfer RNA (tRNA) molecules are approximately 80 nucleotides in length. Their secondary structure includes four short double-helical elements and three loops (D, anti-codon, and T loops). Further hydrogen bonds mediate the characteristic L-shaped molecular structure. tRNAs have two regions of fundamental functional importance: the anti-codon, which is responsible for specific mRNA codon recognition, and the 3' end, to which the tRNAs corresponding amino acid is attached (by aminoacyl-tRNA synthetases). tRNAs cope with the degeneracy of the genetic code in two manners: having more than one tRNA (with a specific anti-codon) for a particular amino acid; and 'wobble' base-pairing, i.e. permitting non-standard base-pairing at the 3rd anti-codon position.
Source: RNAcentral